RNAcentral lists this long non-coding RNA (265 nucleotides) under Pan troglodytes (chimpanzee). Its description in RNAcentral is "long non-coding RNA NONPTRT006867". Lineage: Eukaryota; Metazoa; Chordata; Mammalia; Primates; Hominidae. The record is from RNAcentral.
CACCUCAACACACUGGUCCAGGAAGCCCAGGAGAGGGUGAGUGAACUGUCUGCCCAGGUGGAGAAUGAAGGAUUCACUCUGGACAACACAGAGAAAGAGAAACAGCUGAAAGCUUGGGAGUGGAGGUAUCGGCUCUACAGACGCAUGAAAACAGGCUUUGAGCAUGCCAGAGCCCCUGAGAUGCCAACCAAUGUCUGUCUCAUGGUAACCAGCAGCACAUCACUCACUGUCAGCUUCCAAGAGCCUCUUAGCGUCAAUGCAGCUG